GUCUCAGCUGCUCUUCCUCUAGUCCGGCUCCCGGAUAAUGUUUCUCCAAAAUCAACAGAGGAUGCCCCUUGUGCUAUGCUCUUGUCACCCACAUGGGAGAUCCAGAUGGAGUUUCUGGCUUCUGGCUUCAGCCUGUCCCGUUGUCUGUUGUGGUCAUUUGGAAAGUGAUGGAAAAAUGUCUCUCUUUCUUUUUCUUUUUGUCUCUGAUAUAUCAUUCUGACUUUCAAAUAAAUAAAUGUCUUUAAAAAUAAGAACAGGAAGCCAGAUUGAUAGGUUUAGCAAAGAGGAUAAUCUGCAGAGCAAAACAAAUAAUUAUGGUGAUGGAUUAUAAGCAGUUAAAUAAUAAAUAAAAAUAAUAAAAUAAAUGCAUCAAUGAACUAAUUAUUAGAGGAGAAAGACUUUUUUAAAUGGCACACCAAUGUAAAAAUGUAGAUGGUAUGAUGGAAUUAGACAAUCACUAUUUGGCUAUAAACACAGUAUUAAUUAAUUCAUUUGAGAAAUAUAAGUAGAUAUUAACCUAGUGGGUGGUAUUUUGAUGGGGAAUGGAAUAAUCUUAAAUUGAUUCUGGAAAAAUUCUUAAAAGGACAAAAUUGUUAACCUGCCAUGGAGAGAAUUGGCAGAGAACAGUUUAACCAAAUCAUUAACACUCACCUCAUAAUGGAUGGAGCAAAGUGAAACUGAGUAUUGCCUGGUAGGAUGUAUUAGGAAAGACACACUCUCCUUUCUAUCAUAUGCCCAUGGGAAAUAUUUGUAUAAUCCAAAUUUUAAAAUGAGUACCUAUCAGGUAAAUGUAAUCUGAGAUACAUCCUGUAAAGCAAUUGGUGUGUAAUCUUCACAAUAUCAGGGUCAUGAAUCUCAACAGCUCAAGAAUAAAGAGUACUAAAUGCUAAUGACAGCUAAAUGUAAAAAUUGAUACUGACUUGGUCCCUUGUACCAUCGAAGACAUUAUUGAGAAGAUUGGCAAAAAUUAUAAAAACUUCUCUGCUUGUGUGGCUGUGAAGGAAAAGGUGACUUUGAGGAUGAAUGAGUCGAGUUCCAUAGAGACGAAUUGUCUGGAGGGCAACAGGUUAACACACUCAAUCUGUGGUGAAGUGGAGCUUCCCUGGAGACAGUCCAAGAAGCAAGGACUCACAAAUAAGGAAGGCUUUAAUCUGUGUGUUCAAAUCCAGGAAAGACAUACAACCUGUGACAUGAUGAUAUGCUGGUCUCCUCCAUCAGUUUUCUAGUUUAAAAAUGUCCUCUCCACCCUGAUGGAUUUCCCAUCCUACUUUACCUACAAAACCAUCACAGAUGUUUUGGAAGUGGGGUCUUCUGAAAAGUAAUCCAGGUGGGGACAGAAGCCUGGAUAAGAUUUGAGAGCUUUCUUAUAACCAUACCACAAUCCACAUAAGAAGUAAUCACAGUGACUUCCAGGCCCUGCCAACCUGACAGCAACAUCAGGAAAGUCAGUUGGGAAAACUACCAUAUUCCCACUGCAAGCUCACUUCAUGAGCAGGGCUUGGGCAAACAUCAGUUUCCUGCAUUUGCAAAGGGGAGACAAAUGAUUUUUUCUGUCCACUUCUCAGAGCAUUUCCUUGGAAGGAAAACGAUGCCUUAACCUAGGUGCGUAGGUGUUUGAAGGAACUGUGGCUCUUCCACAGGUAAAGGAAAAUUCUCCUGAAGGCAGCAAUUAGCUUGACCAUUAGGUUACAGAUCUAACAAUUCAAGCAAGCAUUUGAUGUGUGGAUAUUGUCUAAGUUUCCAUUACUGAAGAAGCAGACUUCUACGGGAGCACUGAGAAGACAGGAUGAUUCAUUUUCUCACAAUGUAGAAACCAUUGUAAAAUAAUAAAAAUCAUCUCAAUAAG
Molecule: non-coding RNA, 1846 nt
Organism: Oryctolagus cuniculus (rabbit)
Lineage: Eukaryota; Metazoa; Chordata; Mammalia; Lagomorpha; Leporidae
Source: RefSeq, a predicted model, not a curated record